RNAcentral lists this ribosomal RNA (253 nucleotides) under uncultured bacterium. RNAcentral describes it as "partial 16S ribosomal RNA". It matches the Rfam family "Bacterial small subunit ribosomal RNA", at positions 524 to 776 of the family's 1533-position model. The record is from RNAcentral.
UACGUAGGUGGCGAGCGUUAUCCGGAUUUACUGGGCGUAAAGCGUGUGCAGACGGGUCAACAAGUGAUGUAUGAAAUUCUGGUGCUCAACAUCGGGAGGGUAUGUCAGACUGUUGGUCUAGGGUGCAAGAGAGGGAGAUGGAAUUCCGGGUGUAGUGGUGAAAUGCGUAGAGAUCCGGAGGAACCCCUGAGGCGAAGGCGGUCUCCUGGCUUGUAACCGACGUUCAGACACGACAGCACGGGUAGCGAACGGG